Molecule: long non-coding RNA, 560 nt
Filed under: Equus caballus (horse)
Lineage: Eukaryota; Metazoa; Chordata; Mammalia; Perissodactyla; Equidae
Description: lncRNA (ENSECAG00000044385.1)
Source: RNAcentral
GCAAGGAAGGCCUUUUCCAGACUGACAGCAGACUUUCCACUUCCUUUGGUCCAAUUGCACCAUAUGCCCAUGUCUACGCCAGUCACUGCCAGAAUUGGUGACAUGACCCCGAAGAAUCGUGAGGGGGCUGGAAAGUGAGUCUCCUGUACAUUCGAGAAGUCAAGGAGUAUUGGAAUAUUGGAGGAACAUAUUAUUGCCACUGUCACAGAUGAGGCCAUGAGGGCACCAGGAGGCUAAGGAACUUGCUGACUCAGAUUGUGAGAGUUGGUUCUGUGAUCCAAACCCAGGCUUCUGGCGCCAGUGCCCCUGGGCUUCAUGACUAGGCUCCACCUCCUCUGUCGUAGGCUCUUCCUCAUGGUCACAAGACGGCUACUGCAGCUGCAACCAUCCCAUCCGUAUUUCAAAAGGAAGGGGAUGGCAACAAGGGGCUUUCCUUUCAUCAGGGAAGAAACGUUUCCACUGAAACUUCACAAUACGUGUUUCCUUGCUGCUCACCGCCUAUAACGAUGUUGCAGGCUCAUCAAUAGACCAGUCCCCCUGUGCUGUGAUAAAGCAUCUUU